Molecule: non-coding RNA, 535 nt
Organism: Oryctolagus cuniculus (rabbit)
Lineage: Eukaryota; Metazoa; Chordata; Mammalia; Lagomorpha; Leporidae
Source: RefSeq, a predicted model, not a curated record
GCUGGUCCCUCUGGGGCUGACGGAUCGGGGCCCCGGGGAAGCAAUUCCGAAGCGGAGGAGAGCGAGGACGCGCGGGCGGGAGGGGGCGUCUGCCUUUGUGGGCGAAGCCCCCUCGGCCAGCCCCGCGCGUCCCGGGGAGAAGAAAAUCAAAGCUACCUGGAGCCAUUUUUAACCACCUCCUCCUCCGCCUACUGGCCCGCAUCCUGCACAGCCCGGUCACCACUCCAAGCUGCAAGUCCGCUCCCCAGCCUGGUCCUCGCGGUCGGAUGAAGAAAUGGACGCUCACGGCGGCGGGAGCCUCGCCCAGGACCCUGCCGCUAUGUAGUUCCGCGUGCACUGGGCUGGGGGUGCGGAGGCUGACCACAAACUCCAGGGGAGCCAUGGCCCCCUUCGAAGGAGCUACGACCCCACCGUGGGAAAGGGGAACCAAUUGCAACCAGGGCUGCUCCUAACUGCCACGGGCCUUGGGUACUUGUGCCUCCCCCGGCUUCUUCCUCUAUUUAAAACAAAUAAUAAUUUAAUAGAUUUUUAUUUC